CUAUGUCUCCAUCUUUAGAAAAGCAAAAGUUUUUCUUGGAACUCCAAUGAUAUUUAGAUUUAUCACCAUUGGAACCCCAAAAAAUCUUGAAAAAUGCUUCACCAUAAGGUUAAGUAUACCUUUUGGAGGGUUUACAUCAGUCAUAAGUGGGCAAAAAUUGAAGAACAUUCUUGAUUAAAAUAAUAUUGCACCCAACAAAUAGUAUUUUUCCCUGCCACGUAUGCAACUUCUUAAUUACUUUAGCCAGCAUACCAUCAAAGUAUUCUGUUUUCCUCCUUCGAUGUAUAUAGGUCACCCAAGAUGAUUGAAACAAACAUCCUUGUUAAUCCUACAGACCCCUGCCUUGGUAGAGAUGACAAAGAAACUUGUUUCCUCAUUUACCAUUUGUCCAGAAUCUUUUUUCAUAUUUAUGUAUUUGUUUCAUGAGUCAGCUUCAGAGAAUGUUUGUUGCCACUGCUGCAAAUAAUAAUAUCAUCUCCAUAUGCUAAAUGAUUGACUGUUGGUUCUCUCCUACACAUAGAAAAAGUGUUAGGGGUUUUACUUGAUAUUCUUAUCAAAACUUAAGUUUUACUUUUUUUUUGUAUGAAAAAUAAAAAUAACCAAGUUGCUCAAACAAAACAAAACCAUAAAUACUAUUACUUUUCCUAAAAGAAAAAUAUAAACUUUUUUAUAUUUGACAAACUUAUUUCUUGAAGGAAAGAUUUUGUACAUCUAUAAAUAGAAUACCCUUUAUCAUACCAUAACACAAUAGUAUCCACAAUGUAGCCUUUAAAGAGUUUAGUUUAAGCGGAAAUUUUCUCCCAUUAGGUUUUAUGAUUUCUAAUAUUAGUUUUUCAUAUGUAAAUCAUUUGACCGAAUCGUAUUAAUAAUAUAUCUUUAGUAUAUUUUUUUGUCAUCUGAAUUAUCGUCUUGUAUAGUUUUCAAAUUUAAGCUUCCACAUAACGCCCUCUUAUUUUGUACCCAACAAGUGGUAUCACAGCCAAUGGUUCAAAGAUCUGAUGGUUCAUAUUGAGGGCAUGGUGAGAUUAAAGUUGCAACCAGUUUGAUGAUAGUGAUGAUAUUUUCUAUAAAUAAAACAAAUGUGGAGAAUUGUCAAUCAUAUUUUCAAUAAUCUUGUUGUUACAUAUUUGAAAAUAAAGUUCGCUUUUAACCCUACAAAGGAUUUGAAUAUUUUUAACCCGCAAAGGUUCGUGUAAUUUUAAACCAAAAGCUCAAUUUUUAAACGUGAUAAGCAACAGUGAUGAGAACUAUGUAAACAACAAAGAUCAAAGAUGUGAAGAAGACGGAUCAAGUGAAAAAUAUCAAGUCAAAAAGGGGAGAUUCGUUAGGAUUUUUGCCCUGAUUUUCUUACCAAGAUUAAGUUUUACUUUUUCUUGUAAGGAAAAAUAAAGUAACUAUAAAUACUUUUACUUUUCCUAAAAUGAAAAUAUAAAUUUUUCGAUAUUUGGCAAACAAGUUUUGAAUAUCUAUAAAUAGAACACUUUCUUCUCAUACCAUAAUGCAGUAAUAUCCAUAAUGUAAAGUUUUAUUUAAGUGGAGAUUUUCUCCCAGUAGGUUUUAUAUUUUUCUAAUAUUAGUUUUUCAUAUAUAGGUUGUUUGACCGAAUCAUACUAAUAAUAUGUCUUUAGUAUAUUUUUUUUUUGUCAUUUGAAUUAUUGUCUUUAGUUUGCAAACUCUAAGUUUCCGCAUGACACCCUCUCAUUUGGAACCCAACAAAAAGGAGUAAAGUGAGUAUUUCUAUUAAGAUUAUUCAAUAAUCGAUUUGGUGAUUAUAGUGGAAGUUUGGACCCGUGAUUUUUUACUCUUCACAUCAAAGGGUUUUUCCACGUAAAUUUGAUGUCUUGUGUGAUUGCCUUUACUCUUAUACUGUUGUAUUUGUGUGGUUAUACAUUUGCUGCCUAUUAUCAUUAUUUUUCUUGGGUUAGUUUGUUUCCUCUUGGUUCAAGUUGAAAGGAAAAGUUUAGAUUUGGGUAUUCUUCUAAUGCUAUCCUGUUGGGCUCUUUGAUUUUCUUGACUCUCGUUGUUGCUUUAUUUUUCUUAAACGGUAUUAAAACCUACAAUUUCUAUUCUUGAGAAGUAUUGGUAAUGCAUUUUCUGGCUUAGGAUGUUUUUGGAACAAUACUACUUGUUGAGAAAAGCAGACCACAAAGAAUCAGUGAUUUGAUCUAUACAUCUAAUCCCUAUGUCUCCAUCUUUAGAAAAGCAAAAGUUUUUCUUGGAACUCCAAUGAUAUUUAGAUUUAUCACCAUUGGAACCCCAAAAAAUCUUGAAAAAUGCUUCACCAUAAGGUUAAGUAUACCUUUUGGAGGGUUUACAUCAGUCAUAAGUGGGCAAAAAUUGAAGAACAUUCUUGAUUAAAAUAAUAUUGCACCCAACAAAUAGUAUUUUUCCCUGCCACGUAUGCAACUUCUUAAUUACUUUAGCCAGCAUACCAUCAAAGUAUUCUGUUUUCCUCCUUCGAUGUAUAUAGGUCACCCAAGAUGAUUGAAACAAACAUCCUUGUUAAUCCUACAGACCCCUGCCUUGGUAGAGAUGACAAAGAAACUUGUUUCCUCAUUUACCAUUUGUCCAGAAUCUUUUUUCAUAUUUAUGUAUUUGUUUCAUGAGUCAGCUUCAGAGAAUGUUUGUUGCCACUGCUGCAAAUAAUAAUAUCAUCUCCAUAUGCUAAAUGAUUGACUGUUGGUUCUCUC
Molecule: long non-coding RNA, 2690 nt
Filed under: Capsicum annuum
Lineage: Eukaryota; Viridiplantae; Streptophyta; Magnoliopsida; Solanales; Solanaceae
Description: long non-coding RNA (CANN_LNC020688)
Source: RNAcentral